RNAcentral lists this ribosomal RNA (253 nucleotides) under uncultured bacterium. RNAcentral describes it as "partial 16S ribosomal RNA". It matches the Rfam family "Bacterial small subunit ribosomal RNA", at positions 524 to 776 of the family's 1533-position model. The record is from RNAcentral.
UACGGGGGGGGCAAGCGUUGUUCGGAAUUACUGGGCGUAAAGGGCUCGUAGGCGGCCAACUAAGUCAGACGUGAAAUCCCUCAGCUUAACUGGGGAACUGCGUCUGAUACUGGAUGGCUUGGAUCCGGAAGAGGGAUGCGGAAUUCCAGGUGUAGCGGUGAAAUGCGUAGAUAUCUGGAGGAACACCGGUGGCGAAGGCGGCAUCCUGGGCCGGUAUUGACGCUGAGGAGCGAAAGCCAGGGGAGCAAACGGG